RNAcentral lists this long non-coding RNA (10171 nucleotides) under Gossypium barbadense (sea-island cotton). RNAcentral describes it as "long non-coding RNA (GBAR_LNC008221)". The record is from RNAcentral. Lineage: Eukaryota; Viridiplantae; Streptophyta; Magnoliopsida; Malvales; Malvaceae.
GCCACCAAUCUUUUUAGGUGUGAUCGGAUCACCUUAAGUUGAUCAUUUUAAUAAAAGUUAAGAUUUACUAAAACGAUAAUUUUUGGUCUACGAAAAUCAGAAAAUGAGUUCGGGAGUCGGUUACUCAUGAGGAAGGAUUAGCACCCUCGAUACGCCCAAAAUUGGUACCUAGUUGAUUAAUUAGUGUCUUAGUGUCGAAAAUUUGAAAACUUGAAAGAAUUUAAAAUACGAUCCCUCUUUGUAAAGAAAAUGCUCAAAUGUUAAGGACCUUCUCGUCUCACAAUAUAAAAUGUCACAUCCAGUAAGUUAGGACACGACAUCUUGAAUUUUCGAGAGCGAGCUUGCCUUUUAUAUAAAAAUUCGUGUAUUUCAAAAGGUUAUUCAGUUAGUUAAGGUGAACGAGGAAAAUCGAAACCCAGUAAGUUAGGGCACGUUUCCUCGAAUUCCCAAACACCGAAUAUUGCCUUUACUUGCAAAAAUAUUAUUUCGAGGUAACAAAAUGCCAUACCCAGUAAGUUAGGGCACAACACCUCGUAUCUCCGAGAAUAAGCAUUUUUCAAAACUCAUGUCGCGAUUUAAAAGAGUAUUCCGUUAUUUAGGUUAAAGGAGAAAAAUCGAAACCCAAUAAGUUAGGGCACGAUUGUCUCGAAUUACCAAAUACGGAAUAUUACUUUUAUGAAAAAAUUAUUAUUGGGUUGGAUAUAAUGAUAAUAAGAAUAAUAUUAAAGUAAAGUAAACAAUAAUACUAUAUAUAAAUAUAUAUAUGUAUAUAAUAGAAAUACACACUACUAUAUAAUAAUAAUAAUAAAUAUAGAAAUACAAAAAGCAAAUAUAAUAAAAAUAUUAAAUUAAAGUAAUAAAAAACAAUACUAUAUAUAAAUAUAUAUAUGUAUAUACAUAAAAAUAUACACUAAUAUAUAAUAAUAAUAGUAAUAGCAAAAAUAAUGAAAAUAUGAGUAAUAUUAAUAAUAUAUUAGAAUACAAAAGUAAAGUAAUAACAAUAGGGGUGAUAAUAAUAAUAAUAAUAAUACAAACAAUAAUACAUAUAUAUAAUAAUAGUAGUAGUUAGAAAUAAAAAAUAAUAGAAGUAACAAUAAUGAUAGUAAUAAUAUAAAUAAAUAUGGAGAGGGCAUAUAUAAUAUAAUAAUAUAAAUAAUAAUAUAUACAUGAGAAAUAAUAAUAAUAAUAUAAAUAAUAGUAAAAAUAAUAAAAUAAUAAAACAAAGCUCUCAACUCUCAUUCUCCCUCUUUUCUAAAUCCGGCCGUUGGUCCGGCUUUGCUUCGGUCAUGGAACCCCACGGGCUGCCAUCAGCGCCACCGUACGCGGCGGCCGAACCUCAAAAAAAAAACUUUUUUCGGUAAUGAAAAUAUGGGUAAGCUUCUUACUUUUAUUUUUACUUUCGUAUAAAAAAAACAAAAUAAAAUUGAAAGGAAAAAAAUAAACAAACAAAGAACUAAAUAUGAGAAUAGACAAAAGAAACCUCUUUUGCUUUGAUCUUUGAUUAAUCUCCAAAAACUAGCCUUUCCAAGAAACAAAAACAACCUUCUUUCCAGAAAAACAAAAAAACACCUCCAAAAAAGAAAAAAACCUCCUCCAAAACAAAGAACAAUCCUCCUCCAAAAAACCAAAAAUCCACCCCCUAAAAACAAAGUCUUGAAUGGCUUUUAUAGCCAAAUUUUACAAGUGGAGUGGUUGGGGUGGUUUAGGUGGCCAAGGGUGGUGGAGUUGGUGGCCAAGGUGGGUGGCCAACAAAGGUGGUGGAGUAGGUGGCCAAGGUUUUUAUUUAUUUAUUUAUUUAUUUUGUGCUUGGGUUGGGAUUAGGUUGGGCCAAAAUUGGGUUUGGGCUUGUAACUGGAUAAUAGGCUAGGUUUAAUUCAGGUUUGGUUUUAUUGGGUCCUAGGCAAAAUUUGGGUCUUACAGCUGCCCCUCUUUGCUCAUUAUCGUGUAACGAGAAUGGAGCAAAGACUACAAAAAGACCAAUUUUGCCAGGGCUCGCCGAGUCUUGAGUUCUUGAUCUUCUUUAAAAUGGCCUCUUGACGGCUUCAAUCUGCUUCACUGCAACUCAGGAAGGCGAUAUCCGCUAUCUUUGAUCUGUUUCACUGUAAGCACAGGAAUGUCAGAUUUGCUAUCUUCGAUCCGUUCCCUAUAAGCACAGGGAUGCCAAAUCUGCUGUUUUCAACUUGUUCCCUAUAAGCACAGGGAUGUCAUGCUGAAAUCUUCGAUCUACUUCACUGUAAGCACAGGAAUGUCAGAUCUGCUAUCUUCGAUCCGUUCCCUAUAAGCACAGGGAUGCCAAAUCUGUUGUUUUCAACUUGUUCCCUAUAAGUACAGGGAUGCCAAAUCUGAUGUUUUCAACUUGUUCCCUAUAAGAACAGGGAUGCCAUGCUGAAAUCUUUGAUCUGCUUCACUAUAAGCACAGGAAUGUCAGAUCUGCUAUCUUCGAUCCGUUCCCUAUAAGCACAGGGAUGCCAAAUCUGAUGUUUUCAACUUGUUCCCUAUAAGCACAGGGAUACCAUGAUAAAAUCUUCAACUUGUUCCCUAUAAGCACAGGGAUGCCAUGCUGAAAUCUUGGAUCUGCUUCACUGUAAGCACAGGAAUGUCAGAUCUGCUAUCUUCGGUCUGCUCCUCUGCAACUUCAGGGAGAUAAGACUUGUUUUGAUCUUCUUCCACUAAAACUUCAAGGAGAUCUGCUGUGGCUUUUAGCCUCUCCAAUGCCAUUUCUGGAAGAAGAGGUUUGCUGAAACUUCAAGGAGAUCUGUUGUGGCUUUUAGCCGCUCCAACGCCAUUUCAGGAAUAAAAGAUCCUCUGAAACUUCAAGGAGAUCUGCUGUGGUUUUUAGCCGCUCCAAUGCCAUUUCAGGGAAAAAGAAAUUUGUAAUUUCCAGCCUAUUACCCUACUACUUAGGGGUUUAAGGCCCAUCAUCUUCGAUCUAUUUCCCAACUGCUUAAGGGGUUAAGAUCUGUAAAUUCAACCUGUUACCCUACUGGUUAGGGGGUUAAGAUUUGUAAAUCUUCAGCCUAUUACCCUACUGCUUAGGGGUUUAAGGUUUGUAAAUUCGGCUUGUUACCCUACUGCUUAGGGGGUUAAAGCCCAUCAUUUUUUAUCUGUUUCCCUACUGCUUAGGGGGUUAAGAUCUGUAAAUCUUCAGCCAGUUACCCUACUGCUUAGGGGUUUAAGGCUUGUAAAUUCGGCUUGUUACCCUACUGCUUAGCGGGUUAAAGCCCAUCAUCUUUGAUCUGUUUCCCUACUGCUUAAGGGGUUAAGAUCUGUAAAUCUUCAGCCUGUUACCCUACUACUUAGGGCGUUAAGGCUUGUAAAUUUGGAUUGUUACCCUACUGCUUAGGGGGUUAAAGCCCAUCAUCUUCGAUCUGUUUGCCUACUGCUUAGGGGGUUAAGAUCUUCAUCUUCGAUCUGUUUCCCUACUGCUUAGGGAGAUAAGAUCUGCAAUUCGGUCUGUUACCCUACCGAUUAGGGGUUUAAGACCCUUCAUCUUCGAUCUGUUUCCCUACUGCUUAGGGGGUUAAGAUCUGUAAAUCUUCAGCCUGUUACCCUACUGCUUAGGGGGUUAAGGCUUGUAAAUUUAGCUUGUUACCCUACUGCUUAGGGGGUUAAAGCCCAUCAUCUUCGAUCUGUUUCCCUACUGCUUAGGGGGUUAAGAUCUUCAUCUUCGAUCUGUUUCCCUACUGCUUAGGGAGAUAAGAUCUACAAUUCGAUCUGUUACCCUACCGAUUAGGGGUUUAAGACCCUUCGUCUUCGAUCUGUUUCCCUACUACUUAGGGGAUUAAGAUCUGUAAAUCUUCAGCCUGUUACCCUAUUGCUUAGGGGCUUAAGGCUUGUGAAUUCACUAAUUCUAGGGACAUCACCUGUAGAAUCAGUUCCAUAUAUCUAUGCUUAUGUCAAAUGAUUAGGAUGCUAUGAUCGAAAUGAAUCAAAUGCUCCUAACUAGAUGUGUUAUGAAUGUGUCAAAUAAUUAGGAUGCUAUGAUUGAAAUGAAUCAAAUGCUCUUAACUAGAUGUGUUAUUAUAUGAAUGUAGAAAUGUCAUGAGCCCUUUUUAAAAAGGCUUAAGGUAUCAUCGUGCGUUGUUCAUUAGGACAUUAUCGCUGACGUAUUACGCUGGCAUCUUGUUCGGCUGGUAUUCUUGACAGAAACGUCAAAGAAACAAUCACAUUUUGCUCAGAAAGUUUGCCCCACUAUAAUUUUAGAGUCCCUUCCACUGUACCUUUUAGGACAUAAAGUUUGUGCCUCCUACUGCAAUUUCAGAGGAAUAACAUUUGGUUUCUUCCAUCCAUUCCGCUGCAACUCAAAGGCAUAGUAUUUGUAUCAUCUUCAAUCAGUUUGAUCUGUUACACUAUUCCUUGGGUGUAAUGACCAGAUGUUCAUGAAUGCAAAGUAUCAUUUCUUUUCUCGAGAAUGACCCUCUUUUACACUUAGGUUGACAUCACUCGUCAUUUGUCGAGGUUGUAUCACUGAUGAAAUGUCUUGUCUUUUGGUUCAACCAAUAAAGAGUCCAAAGAGAUAAUAUUUCCAACCCUUAAGCUUGGUGAGUUCUAAACAAUAGUCCUGUUUCAGGUUUUUGUAUUAUUUAGAAACUUCUAGAGUAAUAUGCAAAACUUCUUUUGUGAAAGUGUUAUUAGUCCAUUAAUCAUUAUUUCAAUGCAAAAUGCUUGAAAAAGAUCAAAACAAUGAACAAGAAGGAAAUUGAUUAUGAGCAUAGCUCGAAAUGGAUAAAUUAAUCAAAGAUUGCAAAUGCAAUAAGAAUGAAAUCAACUCAAAACGAAUGAUUUAAUCAAAGAUAGCAAUGCAAUAAGAAGAAAAUUUAUUUGGACAUAUCUUGAGAAGAAUCAAAGAUAACAAAUUCAAAAUGGGCAAAAUGGAAGCUAGAUGCCCCAGAUAUCGUAGCCUGAGCUUUUCUGUACCAACUUCUUGAGGACCUUUCUGAGUUUAAUAUGUGUUUAGGGGAUCCGGAGUACUUUUUUGAUGCCCCAAGACGUAGCAUACUUCUUCAUUGUUAAUUCAAGCAUAGCAAGACUAAUGUAUGCCCCACUUUGAUCCAAAUUUGAGCUACCAUUUUCGGGUUUUCAACUCGAAUCCCUUUUAGUCUCAAGGCUCCAUUUGCGGGGUUUCGCCCUGGCCUCUCUUUUUUCCGCUUCUUUUUUUUUUAGAAUUUUUUUGUUUUUUUUUUGUGUUUUCGUGUUUUUGUGUUUUUUUUUGCCUUUGCCAUAUAACUCCUAAUCUUUAAACAGACUGUGACCUUUUGACAUUGUACAGCUGUGUUAGACAUGAUUUUCUGGCACUAUUUAUUGGCACCCCUUUUUUUGAAAUUUGAUGACUGUCGACCUAGUGACAUUGGCAUAUGAAACAACUUUUAUCCUUUUCUCGGGGUAAACGAUGACCCCAAAGGCAAAUCGGUAUUGGUUAGAAGCUUUCAAAGAGAUCGGCCCAUAACCUCCAUGCCCCACAUGAAGGGGCACAUGAAUUUUCUCUCUAUAAAUUUGGCAUUUACAGCAUACUGAUGCAAUCCCUUUCUAUGGUGGGCCAGCAGAACCCAAAUCUCAUGAUUAGCUUGGCCAUCGUAAAACCAUUAGCAUAUGUCAUUCCAAACCUUGCAACAUCCUCAUGUCUUAGUAGCCAGGCGUAUCUUGAUAUGAUCAUGCAAAAAAUCUUUAAAUUCUAGGAAGUGACUCAAUGACGUCUCGCUUUGCCUUUGUGGUAAUGCAGACUCCGAUGUUUGCAUCUUUCUCUUGUCAUAGGCCUACUGCCUACUGUCUUUUUGUAAGAGAGGAUCUGUUUUCAUCUUACUCUACCAUCCUUAACAAAUUAGAGAGUAGUCUACAUCUCUAUCAUCUUCAGAGUGUUGAGAUCCCUUUAGGCCCAUAUUUCGCUCAAAAGGAGACUCGGAGUCAAUGACAGCGUUACUGACAUCAUUGAUAUCUGGGGACCCACUGAAGGCAUAUUCCAAAGAAAUAAAUGAUUCUAAGGAUGAUUAUUUGUAUGGUAUGAUCAUGAAUGAAGAAUAAAUGAAUAUUUGAAAUAAAUUCCAAAGAACAAAAGAAUCUAAGAACAAUUAUUUGUACCGUAUGAGAUGAAAUCAAAGAAUAUUUGCUCAAAAAGAUGCAUUUUAUUGAAAUAAAGACUUAGGAUACAAGCCUAUUUCACAAAAGGGGUUUAAUUGCUUCCAGGCUUAAAGCAACAAGCGUGUUUUGAAUAUUACUCUAGAUUAGCUCUAAAAACUACAAGAGGUUCCUCUACAGACUAAUCAUUCAAAACAUUUCCAGGUUUGUAAGGACGAAUGCCUCACAAGUUUCUCUAUUCAGGAUCCGAUGCUACUAAUCCUCUUCUUUAUUUUUCAUCUUUGACAGAGUCCUUUAAUCAUUUUCUCUUAUCAUCGUGAUUUGGUAAUGGACUCUUUGUACCAGGGGUGUCAUCAAACUUCACAAUCCCCAUCUCGAGGAGUCUUUCAACCGUCUUCUUGAAGGCAGUACAGUUUUCUAUUGAAUGCCCCGAUACUCCCGCAUGAUAAUCACAUUGAGCGUUUGAAUCAUACCAUUUGGGGUAUGGGGGUUGCAAUGGCUUUAUAUAAUAUGGGGACACCAUGUGUGAAUCAAAUAAACUUUGAUAUAACUCCUUAUAUGACAUUGGGAUUGGCGUAAAUUGGAGCUUUUCAAAAUUUUGCCUUACCCUUGAUUCCUGCUUUGUCAAACCUUGUUGCCCCCUCGUAGUCACCUUUGGUUGAUUGACAGUUAUUGACCUUGAGUGAUCUCUAUUGUAUAAGCUCAUACUGUUCACUUCAUUCUCCUUUUUCUUUGGAACUGACCUCUUGGUAGUUUCUCCAACUUCAAUCUUGCCACCUCUUAUGGCAUUCUCAAUCAUCUCGCAUGCCAUUACCAUAUCAGAAAAACUUUUGGUAGUAUUCCCAAUCAUAUGGGUGAUGAAUGGGGCCUUCAAAGUAUUAAUGAAGAGCAUGGUCGUUUCCUUCUCCAAAAGAGGUGGCUGGACUUGCAUCGCUAUUUCCCUCCACCGUUGUGCAUAUUGCCUGAAACUCUCACUCGGCUUCUUUUUCAUGUUUUGUAGUGUGAUCCUAUCUGGCGUCAUAUCAGUCACAUGGUUAUACUGUUGCAUGAAAGCCUGUGCAAGAUCUCUCCAUGAACCGAUCUUUGCACGGCUCAACUGAUUGUACCACCUAGCCGAUGCUCUCAUUAGGCUGUCCUAAAAAUAAUGGAUCAAUAGUUGAUCGUUGUUCACAUAGCCAGUCAUCCUUCUACAAAAUAUUGUUUUGUGCGCCUCUCGGCAAGUAGUCCCGUUGUACUUUUCAAACUCUAGCAUCUUAAAUUUAUGAGGAAGCACCAAAUCUGGAACCAAACUUAAGUCUUUGGCAUCGAUCCCCUAAUGAUUGCCAGCGCCUUCUAAAACCCUAAACUUCUCCUCUAACCACCUGCAAUGAUCUUUCAAUUGUUUCGAGGAUUCAGUGGCCAUUCUUUCCUUCUCUAUUAAAUCCAGAUCAGGAGUAAUAGGGUUGACCGAGCUAUCACCCAAAUUAUUUCCCAACCCAGAUGGGAAAUUUAUGGGGAUUCCAGCAUCCACUGGCCCAUGUUGAGGCCUCACUGUGACAGAUGGCCUUCUAGGAGGUGCCUCAGUUUGCAGAGGCACAUGAGGUGGGGUAAAACCCGGAGGGUAAGUAGGAUCUUCAUUAUCUUCUCCCGCAUUGAUCAAAGGGCUUUUCCCCUUUUCUAAUCCGCCAGCCAAUAGACGAGUUAAUUAAUCCAUCAUGCUUUUCUGGGACUCUAACAUAUGGUCCCUCAUAUCUUGCUGUAUCUUAGCCAGUUACUCUUGCAUCUGCUCUUGUAAUUGUUCUUGCAUCUCCCUUUGCAUUUGUUCUAUCCUUUCUAAUCUCUGGUCCAUUGCUUUGGUUUUACGGUGGGUAUAGUGGCUGUGUUUGGUUGCUUGAUUCUCGUUGGUUUCCAGAUUAAUUGAAAUAAUUUUGUUUAAUCAGGGUUCUUUAGUGAAAGUUUAAUGCAAAUGUUGCAAUGUAAUGCAAAUGUAUGGAAUGAAUGCAAAAGAAAGGAAGAUGUUGAUCUUGAAUUCAAUUCUAUUAGAAUAACUUUUCUAGAAAACAUAUUUCUUUACAUGAAAAUAGAUUACAUAUGCGGUAUUACCCUUCAUAUCCCAAGUAAACGCUGAUCUUUUCUUCAUGGUCGAAUCUUGUAAAUUCUCUAAAAGAUGCCUUUACUAGUUCCUUGUUGCUUAAUCUGAGCCUCGAUCUCUUGCUCACUUAUCUCUAUGAUACUCAUCAAAAGUGUCGGCUCUUGAAUAAUCUUUGUUGGCAAUUAAAUCAAGUCAUGUAUUCCUUCGUGGACUUCCAGCUUUCUCUCGUCAUGGCUUUGUUGGCUUGAAUCUCUGGCAAUUACAUCAUGUAUUCCUCCGUGAACUACCAGCUUUCUCUCAUCGUGUUUACUUGGACUAUAUUCAGGCGAUCACACUAUAAUCUACUUUAUCAAGAAAUUCGUUUCCUUAUGACAAACUAUUCUAUUUAGGAAUUGAAUUUCGAAUUAACACAUUCUUUUCUUUGAUGUAAUGUAAUGCAAAUGCAUGAACACAAAAAAAAAGGAAGGCAUUGAUUCUAAAUUUAAUUUCAUUAGAACAACUUUUCUAGAAAGCAAAUUCUUUUACAUAAAACGGACUACAUAUACGGCUUUUCUCUUGUAUUCCAAGUGAAGACACCUAUCUUCCUCUUCAUAUCCGGAUCUUGUGGUCGAGUCUGAUGAAUUCUCCAAGAGAUGUCUAUAUUAACUCCUUUUUUGCUCGAUCCAGGCUGCGACUCGUUGCUCACUUAUUACUGUGAUACUUGUCAGCUCCUUUAAGAAGGUCAAGAUGUGAUGGCUCUCGAAUAAUCUUUGUCAGUUUCUGUCUUCAGGCAAUGAAGCGAAGUCUUGUAUUUCUUCACAGGCUAUCAGUCUUCUUUCAUGUGUUCACUUGUAUCAUAUUUAGACAACCGUAUUAUAAUCCACUUUAUCAAAAAAUUCUUUUUCUUAUGACAAACUGUUCUAUUUAGCAAUCAAAUAUGAAUCAACACCUCCUUCCUAGGAUGAUGUAAUGUAAUGCAAUUAUAAACAAAACAAAAAUAAAACACGUUAGUGCAGGAUAAAUAAAUAACAAAUAAAGCAAUUCGGGUGACCACUAGGGGUUCGGAGUGGCUCUACCUAGGGUGGGCUCCUAGGUCUCUCUAUAUGUGGUUUGGUUCUAGAGUAAGGGUACCUGAACCAGCAGAUUCCUCGAUCCUCACCCAUUAUAGGCUCAUUUGAAUUGAGUUCAAUUCAGGAGAAUACAUUUCCCUAUGGCUACACGGAGAUGAAAAUCUCACGAAACCAUAGGUACGGAUGUAUUCCGAAAGUGAUCCACUAUCCUGCACGGAGGUGAAAACCUCACGAAGGCGUAGUUUCUCACUUCCACUUAAGGGUGUGGCCACAACGGUCAUGCAAUGCAAUGCGAGAAGAUAUAUGCAUAAAAACUUGAAACGAUUAAAGAAAAUAGGAAUAAAAUGAUGAAAACAGUACGAAAAACGGGUGAAACGCAAUGAAGUGAUCGUAUAUCAAAACCAAAUUCUCAAUUUUCGAAAAAAGACAAAAGUUAAUCAACUUGUGGCUUGACUCUCUUAUAAAACUCCCCAGUGGAGUCGCCAAGCUGUCGUAACCAUUUUUUUGAAAAAACGGGUAUCGACUUGGAGAAAAAAAACGAAAACAGGAGUCGCCACCAAUCUUUUUAGGUGUGAUCAGAUCACCUUAAGUUAAUCAUUUUAAUAAAAGUUAAGAUUUACUAAAAUGAUAAUUUUUGGUCUACGAAAAUCAGAAAAUGAGUUCGGGAGUCGGUUACUCCUGAGGAAGGAUUAGCACACUCAAUACGCCCAAAAUUGGUACCUAGUUGAUUAAUUAGUGUCUUAGUGUCGAAAAUUUGAAAACUUGAAAGAAUUUAAAAUACGAUCCCUCUUUGUAAAGAAAAUGCUCAAAUGUUAAGGACCUUCUCGUCUCACAAUAUAAAAUGUCACAUCCAGUAAGUUAGGACACGACAUCUUGAAUUUUCGAGAGCGAGCUUGCCUUUUAUAUAAAAAUUCGUAUAUUUCAAAAGGUUCUUCAGUUAGUUAAGGUGAACGAGGAAAAUCGAAACCCAGUAAGUUAG